RNAcentral lists this small RNA (29 nucleotides) under Bombyx mori (domestic silkworm). Its description in RNAcentral is "ovarian small RNA-25353". Lineage: Eukaryota; Metazoa; Arthropoda; Insecta; Lepidoptera; Bombycidae. The record is from RNAcentral.
UCACUAACAUUUCUUGAUAAUUGUAACGC